This 549-nucleotide ribosomal RNA is filed under the name uncultured bacterium. RNAcentral's name for it is "bacterial SSU rRNA". It matches the Rfam family "Bacterial small subunit ribosomal RNA", at positions 355 to 896 of the family's 1533-position model. The record is from RNAcentral.
UGGGGAAUAUUGCGCAAUGGGGGGAACCCUGACGCAGCCAUGCCGCGUGAAUGAAGAAGGCCUUCGGGUUGUAAAGUUCUUUCGGUAUUGAGGAAGGUUGAUGUGUUAAUAGCACAUCAAAUUGACGUUAAAUACAGAAGAAGCACCGGCUAACUCCGUGCCAGCAGCCGCGGUAAUACGGAGGGUGCGAGCGUUAAUCGGAAUAACUGGGCGUAAAGGGCACGCAGGCGGUUAUUUAAGUGAGGUGUGAAAGCCCCGGGCUUAACCUGGGAAUUGCAUUUCAGACUGGGUAACUAGAGUACUUUAGGGAGGGGUAGAAUUCCACGUGUAGCGGUGAAAUGCGUAGAGAUGUGGAGGAAUACCGAAGGCGAAGGCAGCCCCUUGGGAAUGUACUGACGCUCAUGUGCGAAAGCGUGGGGGAGCAAACAGGAUUAGAUACCCUGGUAGUCCACGCUGUAAACGCUGUCGAUUUGGGGGGUUGGGGUUUAACUCUGGCGCCCGUAGCUAACGUGAUAAAUCGACCGCCUGGGGAGUACGGCCGCAAGGUUA